This 468-nucleotide ribosomal RNA is filed under the name uncultured bacterium. Its description in RNAcentral is "partial 16S ribosomal RNA". It matches the Rfam family "Bacterial small subunit ribosomal RNA", at positions 28 to 507 of the family's 1533-position model. The record is from RNAcentral.
GACGAACGCUGGCGGCGUGCUUAACACAUGCAAGUCGAACGGAAAGGCCCUGCUUUUGUGGGGUGCUCGAGUGGCGAACGGGUGAGUAACACGUGAGUAACCUGCCCUUGACUUUGGGAUAACUUCAGGAAACUGGGGCUAAUACCGGAUAGGAGCUCCUGCUGCAUGGUGGGGGUUGGAAAGUUUCGGCGGUUGGGGAUGGACUCGCGGCUUAUCAGCUUGUUGGUGGGGUAGUGGCUUACCAAGGCUUUGACGGGUAGCCGGCCUGAGAGGGUGACCGGCCACAUUGGGACUGAGAUACGGACCAGACUCCUACGGGAGGCAGCAGUGGGGAAUAUUGCACACUGGGCGGAAGCCUGAUGCAGCAACGCCGCGUGCGGGAUGACGGCCUUCGGGUUGUAAACCGCUUUCGCCUGUGACGAAGCGUGAGUGACGGUAAUGGGUAAAGAAGCACCGGCUAACUACGUG